This 264-nucleotide ribosomal RNA is filed under the name uncultured archaeon. RNAcentral's name for it is "partial 16S ribosomal RNA". It matches the Rfam family "Archaeal small subunit ribosomal RNA", at positions 719 to 982 of the family's 1478-position model. The record is from RNAcentral.
AGUCACUGACAUUAGAUACCCGGGUAGUCCCAGCCGUAAACAAUGUGAGUUAGGUGUGUCGGUAACCACGCGUUACUGAUGCGCCGAAGAGAAAUCGUGAAACGCACCACCUGGGAAGUACGGUCGCAAGGCUGAAACUUAAAGGAAUUGGCGGGGAGCACCACAACAGGUGGAGCCUGCGGUUUAAUUGGAUUCAACGCCGGACAUCUCACCGGAUAAGACAGCUGAAUGAUUGUCAAUCUGAAGGUUUUACAUGACUAGCUG